RNAcentral lists this ribosomal RNA (1330 nucleotides) under Junonia coenia bergi. Its description in RNAcentral is "16S ribosomal RNA". Lineage: Eukaryota; Metazoa; Arthropoda; Insecta; Lepidoptera; Nymphalidae. The record is from RNAcentral.
AGGGGGAAAAUUAAUAACUUAAAUUUAAUAAAAGAAAUUUUAAUAUUAAAAAGAAAAAUGGGGGUUUGAGUAUUUUUAAUAGAAAAAAUUAAAAGUUUUAUAGUUAAAUAUUACUGUAAAGGAAUUUAUAAAUAAGUGAAAUAUAAUUAAUGAAAAAGUAAAUUUAAAUUAUUGUAUCUUGUGUAUCAGAGUUUAUUAAAUAAUAAUAAUUUAUUUAAAUAAAUCUCGAAUUUAAAAGAGUUAAUUAAUUAAAAAAGUUAAUGUUGUAUAAUUAUUUUAAAUAAUUAAUUAGAAAUGAAAUGUUAAUCGUUUUUAAAUAUAUCUAGUUUUUUCAGAAAAAAAUUUAAUUUUAAAUUUAAAUAAUUUUAUAAUUAUUUAAUUAAUUAUAAAAAUUUAAAUUUUAAUAUUUUAGGGGAUAAGCUUUAAAUUAAAAAUUUAUAAUUAAAAAUAAUUAAAAUUAAAAUUUUUAAAAUUUAUAUUGUUUAAAAAUUAUAGUUUAUUAUAAAAAAUUUUAUUAAAAAUAAAAUUUAAAAUAAAAAAAUUUAAAUUUUUAUGAAAAAAUAAUUUAUAAUUUAAUAAAAUUAGAAAUAAUGAUAAAAUUAGUAUAAUAUAAUAAAUUAAAAAAAAAAUUAUAGAUAAUUAAGUUAAAGGAAUUCGGCAAAAAUUUAUAUUCACUUGUUUAUCAAAAACAUGUCUUUUUGAUAAUAAUUUAAAGUCUAAUCUGCCCACUGAUAUUAUAUUAAAGGGCUGCAGUAUAUUGACUGUACAAAGGUAGCAUAAUCAUUAGUCUUUUAAUUGAAGACUUGUAUGAAAGAUUUGAUGAAAUAUAAACUGUCUCUAAUUUAUGAUUAGAAAUUAAUUUUUUAGUUAAAAAGCUAAAAUAAAAUUAAAAGACGAGAAGACCCUAUAGAGUUUUAUAUUUUAUUUAAUUAAUAUUAAAUAUAUAAUUAAAUAUAUUAAUUAAAUAAAAUAUUGUGUUGGGGUGAUAGAAAAAUUUAAUAAACUUUUUUUAAAAUUAAACAUAAAUAAGUGGUUAAUUGAUCCAUUAAUAAUGAUUAAAAGAAAAAAUUACCUUAGGGAUAACAGCGUAAUAUUUUUUUUUAGUACGUAUAAAAAAAAAAGUUUGCGACCUCGAUGUUGGAUUAAGAUAAAAUUUAAAUGCAAAAGUUUAAAAUUUUGAUCUGUUCGAUCAUUAAAAUCUUACAUGAUCUGAGUUCAAACCGGUGUAAGCCAGGUUGGUUUCUAUCUUUAAUAAAAAAAAAUAUUUUAGUACGAAAGGAUCAAAUAUUUAAAAUAAUUUUAUAACAAUGAAUAUUAAUAAUAUAGUUUA